GAUAUCCAGUGGUUUGUCCUGUCUCUAGUUUCCUGUGAACAACCCUGUUUUGUCCCUUGGAUGUCCUUGUGCCUGAUUCCACGUCGGACUUUUCCUGCCCAUUACCUGUCUGGACAUCAGCCCUGUUUUGGAAUGCCCACUGAGCCCUGCCUGUCCCUGUUAAGUAGUCUAUCUUUUGCCUCCUUAUGUAUGACCCUUGCCUGCCUGAUCACUUCGCCUUUUGGAUCUCCUUUGUUUGCCUCUACAGUUGUUUCAGGGGUUUGUGUUCCACAGGAGUUCAGGAACCUGCCACCAGUCCCUGGAGAACUACUUAUGGCGAGAUGCAGCUAGGUGAAGAGAUCCUACCUAGAGUAGACAUCGAGACUGUUUUUUCCCUACAGUUAUAUUUGAAAGAAUUAAGGAAAAGAUCAAUUUUAGGGCAUUUAAAAUGAUUGUGAAGCUGUGUGGGAAGGCAUGCAGCAAUAAGCUUAGCCUGGGAUUUAAACACCUGACCUACUUUGACACAAAGCUUUAACUUCUGUACACCAGCUUAUAAUAUUGAGCUCAUGUGUCUUCACUCAUCUCCUCACUCCUUGAUCUUUUCAUGGGAGUGAUUGCACCAGCAGCAGUAUUACAACUUGAGUGAAUUCUUAUGAUGCACCCAAAAAG
Long non-coding RNA from Melanotaenia boesemani (Boeseman's rainbowfish), 648 nucleotides. RefSeq lists it as uncharacterized. The transcript has 3 exons. The record is from RefSeq and is a predicted model, not a curated record. NCBI's taxonomy places the organism in Eukaryota, Metazoa, Chordata, Actinopteri, Atheriniformes, Melanotaeniidae.